GGACGGAACAAGGGCAGACCGGUGCCGGGGCUCACCCGAAGGCAGCCAACCUCUAGGUGAAGUUACCGGACAUUUAUAACAACACUGCUCCGAGGAGGCUGGUGGUCUCCAUGCAGCUCUGCCCAAGAGAUUUUACCAGCCACUUCGAACCACCACACCACGCAACUCCAGUGAUUACACUGCGACGAACUGGGCUGUACUCGUAAGUAAAAUCAUUCAGUCUCAUUCACCUGGUUGCAAGAGAACAGGUACUGUAAUGAUCCCUGUCACAGAAUGGGGUAGA
Columba livia (rock pigeon) is the source of this 283-nucleotide long non-coding RNA. RefSeq lists it as uncharacterized. The transcript has 2 exons. Lineage: Eukaryota; Metazoa; Chordata; Aves; Columbiformes; Columbidae. The record is from RefSeq and is a predicted model, not a curated record.